AAUGAAAGAUCAUUUAUAUGCAAUUAUAAGGAACACUGGUUUACAGUUAGAAAAUUAGGAAAACAGUGGUUUAACUUGAAUUCUCUCUUGACGGGUCCAGAAUUAAUAUCAGAUACAAGUGCACUGUGGCAGUGCCGCUUGCUCAGGACCCAGCCCUGCAGCCCUUCUGUGUGUGCUCCCUCGUUAAGUUCAUUUGCUGUUAUUACACACACAGGCCUUCCUGUCUGGUCGUUAGAAAAGCCGGGCUUCCAAAGCACUGUUGAACACAGGAUUCUGUUGUUAGUGUGGAUGUUCAAUGAGUUGUAUUUUAAAUAUCAAAGAUUAUUAAAUAAAGAUAAUGUUUGCUUUUCUA
RNAcentral lists this long non-coding RNA (352 nucleotides) under Homo sapiens (human). Its description in RNAcentral is "non-protein coding lnc-NDUFB1-1:9". Lineage: Eukaryota; Metazoa; Chordata; Mammalia; Primates; Hominidae. The record is from RNAcentral.